This 164-nucleotide ribosomal RNA is filed under the name Rainiera stricta. RNAcentral's name for it is "5.8S ribosomal RNA". It matches the Rfam family "5.8S ribosomal RNA". Rfam says of the family: 5.8S ribosomal RNA (5.8S rRNA) is a component of the large subunit of the eukaryotic ribosome. It is transcribed by RNA polymerase I as part of the 45S precursor that also contains 18S and 28S rRNA. Functionally, it is thought that 5.8S rRNA may be involved in ribosome translocation. Lineage: Eukaryota; Viridiplantae; Streptophyta; Magnoliopsida; Asterales; Asteraceae. The record is from RNAcentral.
CUAACGACUCUCGGCAACGGAUAUCUCGGCUCACGCAUCGAUGAAGAACGUAGCAAAAUGCGAUACUUGGUGUGAAUUGCAGAAUCCCGUGAACCAUCGAGUUUUUGAACGCAAGUUGCGCCCGAAGCCUUUUGGUCGAGGGCACGUCUGCCUGGGCGUCACAC